RNAcentral lists this ribosomal RNA (252 nucleotides) under uncultured bacterium. RNAcentral describes it as "partial 16S ribosomal RNA". It matches the Rfam family "Bacterial small subunit ribosomal RNA", at positions 793 to 1055 of the family's 1533-position model. The record is from RNAcentral.
GUCCAUGCCGUAAACGGUGGGCACUAGGUGUGGGACUUUCAACGGUUCCGUGCCGAAGCUAACGCAUUAAGUGCCCGCCUGGGAGUACGGCCGCAAGGCUAAACUCAAGGAAUUGACGGGCCCGCACAAGCGGCGGAGCAUGUUGCUUAAUUCGAGGCAACGCGAAGAACCUUACCUGGGUUUGACAUGUACCGAAAGCCAUAGAGAUAUGGUGUCCUUCGGGCGGGUACACAGGUGGUGCAUGGCUGUCGU